UCGGGAAUUUUGGGCAAUGGGCGAAAGCCUGACCCAGCAACGCCGCGUGAGGGAUGAAGUAUUUCGGUAUGUAAACCUCGAAAGAAUGGGAAGAAUAAAUGACGGUACCACCUAUAAGCUCCGGCUAACUACGUGCCAGCAGCCGCGGUAAUACGUAGGGAGCAAGCGUUGUUCGGAUUUACUGGGCGUAAAGGGCGCGUAGGCGGCGCGGUAAGUCACUUGUGAAAUCUCUGAGCUUAACUCAGAACGGCCAAGUGAUACUGCUGUGCUAGAGUGCGGAAGAGGCAACCGGAACUCUUGGUGUAGCGGUGAAAUGCGUAGAUAUCAAGAGGAACACCUGAGGCGAAGGCGGGUUGCUGGGCCGACACUGCCGCUGAUGCGCGAAAGCCAGGGGAGCAAACG
RNAcentral lists this ribosomal RNA (402 nucleotides) under uncultured bacterium. RNAcentral describes it as "bacterial SSU rRNA". It matches the Rfam family "Bacterial small subunit ribosomal RNA", at positions 355 to 774 of the family's 1533-position model. The record is from RNAcentral.